Molecule: transfer RNA, 62 nt
Filed under: Phloeosinus perlatus
Lineage: Eukaryota; Metazoa; Arthropoda; Insecta; Coleoptera; Curculionidae
Description: tRNA-Gly
Source: RNAcentral
UAUAAUAUAAAUUUUAAAUUAUAAUUGACUUCCAAUCAAUAAAUCUAGAAAUAGUAUAGAUA